UUUUUUUUUUUUUUUUUUUUUUUAAGUAUGGGAAUUUGAUAUGAAAUAUUGGAGGGAAAGUAAAAUAACAAAAGUUGACUUUCAAUUAUUUUGGCUUCCCUCUAAUAUUUUGGUGUAAAAUUCCCUAUGUCACCCAUUCCCCAUAUUCCCUCCCUGUAACCCACGACCAACCCCACUCAGAUAAACUUGAAAUAUCCAAUUCAAAUGCUACCACAUACACUCCAAAGAAAAAAGAAUUCCCUGCGUGUAUUUUUUUUUUUUUUUUUCUCUCAAUGUCUUGCUAUUUCCCCACCUGAUGGUCAUCCAACAAUCGCUUUAACACAAGGAACAGUUAUUCUAUGGAGUUUUCAACUCCAGCACAUAAUUUGUCUUAAUGGAGGAAUUCUUAACAUCCUUUUAAUAAGGAGGUACAUGAAGGUGCAAAAAGUGUCUCAAGAGUGAAGUUUUUAGUUUAAAGAUGUUGCAUUAGCACAUGAGGAAGCAACAUACUUUUUCUUUUUCAAUUUACCAUUAUUCAUGCAUUUCAAUUAGAUUUUUUAUGAUUAGUGAUUUCACUCUAUUUACUCAAUUUUGGACCCAUAUGUUAUCGCAUAAUUAUAGAUGUAAUUAGCAGUUGGUUUUGUAUGACUUUUGUGAUGUCUUUUAUUUAAAGAUUUAAAUACUCCCUAGUACGCUUUUGAUCACAAAGUAUCUAUUUACGGAAAGUAGAUUGUAUUGCACAUUUCAACCUGCAUCAAAUUUUAAAUUCAGUGAAAAAAGUAAUUUAUUCCAUAAUGGCCUUCAUAUUAAUAACAUAAUUAUAUUUUUAAUUACAAAUUAACUUUAUUUGAUGACAAUUGAAAUUUUCACAAAUUAACGUAACGUAUAGUGACGAAUUAGUCUUGACAAAAAAAAAAAAAAAAAAAAAAAAAAAAAGAUUCAAUGACGAAAUUGGUGCCUUUCCUAGAAAGACAAAUUUGUCACUAAUUUAAUUAUUUAGAGACGAAAAUUUCCUUUCGUACACAAAGCAUAUAGCGUUUAGUGACGUAAUCACAUUCUUUUAACUACAAAUUAUGCAUAGCUUUAAAGACAAUCUGUAUCGUCACUAAUUAAAAUUAUAGUUAGUGACAAAUUAGAUUUCUCGGUAAUACCCACAUUUUUAGUGACGUACAAUAUUUUUAGCUACAAAACUUUUACGCU
This is a long non-coding RNA of Lycium ferocissimum, 1179 nucleotides long. RefSeq lists it as uncharacterized. The transcript has 3 exons. The record is from RefSeq and is a predicted model, not a curated record. NCBI's taxonomy places the organism in Eukaryota, Viridiplantae, Streptophyta, Magnoliopsida, Solanales, Solanaceae.